Molecule: ribosomal RNA, 250 nt
Filed under: uncultured prokaryote
Description: partial 16S ribosomal RNA
Rfam family: Bacterial small subunit ribosomal RNA
Source: RNAcentral
UACGUAGGGGGCAAGCGUUAUCCGGAUUUACUGGGUGUAAAGGGAGCGCAGGCGGCGGGGCAAGUCAGAUGUGAAAACCCGGGGCUCAACCCCGGGACUGCAUUUGAAACUGUCCGGCUAGAGUGCAGGAGAGGCAGGCGGAAUUCCUAGUGUAGCGGUGAAAUGCGUAGAUAUUAGGAGGAACACCAGUGGCGAAGGCGGCUUACUGGACUGUAACUGACGUUGAGGCUCGAAAGCGUGGGGAGCAAAC